RNAcentral lists this ribosomal RNA (330 nucleotides) under uncultured bacterium. Its description in RNAcentral is "bacterial SSU rRNA". It matches the Rfam family "Bacterial small subunit ribosomal RNA", at positions 568 to 898 of the family's 1533-position model. The record is from RNAcentral.
UGUGUAGGCGGCUCUCUAAGUUUGGUGUGAAAUCUCCCGGCUCAACCGGGAGGGUGCGCCGAAAACUGGGGGGCUAGAGUGCGGGAUGGGAGAGUAGAAUUCCUGGUGUAGCGGUGAAAUGCGUAGAUAUCAGGAGGAAUACCGGUGGUGUAGACGGCUCUCUGGACCGCAACUGACGCUGAGACACGAAAGCGUGGGUAGCAAACAGGAUUAGAUACCCUGGUAGUCCACGCCCUAAACGAUGCAUAUUUGGUGUAGGUCAUUCAGUUGAUCUGUGCCGGAGCUAACGCGUUAAAUAUGCCGCCUGGGGAGUACAGUCGCAAGGCUGAA